Long non-coding RNA from Nymphaea colorata (pocket water lily), 446 nucleotides. RefSeq lists it as uncharacterized. The record is from RefSeq and is a predicted model, not a curated record. The transcript is spliced from 3 exons. NCBI's taxonomy places the organism in Eukaryota, Viridiplantae, Streptophyta, Magnoliopsida, Nymphaeales, Nymphaeaceae.
GGAGCGUCGCCUUCUCACUGUCCAGAGGCCGCUCCUACCGUCGCCGCUCCGCUCCUCUGCCAGUGAUCUUUCCCCCUUUCUCUCUUGCUCUAUGAUGCCCUCGUCUUCUCCCAAAUCAGUGCCCUAAUCACCGUCGCAUAGAAAUCGCUUCUCGCUCCCAGGGAAGACAGGGCAGCAUCCGCCAACGCCACGGUCGCCGCUCCUCCGAUCCGCCGUCGUUGUUGCUAUUGCCCUCGUAUUCUCAACUUCUGGUACUUGGCGUUCGACAAUUCUAUUUAUUUGAUCACCAGAUCUAAUUCUGGAAUCUCUUUUUGACGUGACCAUUUUAAUUUCAUAAACAGUGUUUAAAUAAUUUCCUGAUAUGUAACUUGAUAAGAUGUUCCGCAAAUUGGAGCCUGGACAUGCUCGGUUUGUCGAUCAGCUUUCUUCCUUUUUCCUGAAUUUGA